AUCUCAGGAGAGUGCUGGCUACUCUGGUC
RNAcentral lists this non-coding RNA (29 nucleotides) under Rattus norvegicus (Norway rat). Lineage: Eukaryota; Metazoa; Chordata; Mammalia; Rodentia; Muridae. The record is from RNAcentral.